GACGAACGCUGGCGGCGUGCUUAACACAUGCAAGUCGAACGCUGAACCCGCUUCGGUGGGGGAUGAGUGGCGAACGGGUGAGUAACACGUGGGCAACCUGCCCCCGGCUCUGGGAUAACUCCAAGAAAUUGGGGCUAAUACCGGAUGUGACCGCUGGCCGCAUGGUCUGGUGGUGGAAAGGGUUUCCGGCUGGGGAUGGGCCCGCGGCCUAUCAGCUUGUUGGUGGGGUAGUGGCCUACCAAGGCGACGACGGGUAGCCGGCCGGAGAGGGUGACCGGCCACACUGGGACUGAGACACGGCCCAGACUCCUACGGGAGGCAGCAGUGGGGAAUAUUGCGCAAUGGGCGGAAGCCUGACGCAGCGACGCCGCGUGGGGGAUGACGGCCUUCGGGUUGUAAACCUCUUUCAGCAGGGACGAAGCGCAAGUGACGGUACCUGCAGAAGAAGCACCGGCCAACUACGUG
This 465-nucleotide ribosomal RNA is filed under the name uncultured bacterium. RNAcentral describes it as "partial 16S ribosomal RNA". It matches the Rfam family "Bacterial small subunit ribosomal RNA", at positions 28 to 507 of the family's 1533-position model. The record is from RNAcentral.